Molecule: long non-coding RNA, 347 nt
Filed under: Mytilus galloprovincialis (Mediterranean mussel)
Lineage: Eukaryota; Metazoa; Mollusca; Bivalvia; Mytilida; Mytilidae
Source: RNAcentral
AACAGAAACAGAAACGAACUAAUUCCUGUCACAAACCAAAACCGCGGGAAACACACCGACCAUACAAGGGAAAACGAAAAAAAAUAAUAACUGCCAUUUUUCUGGCUUGGUACAGGACAUUUUGAGGAACAAUUGUGAACCUGUAUAAAUGACAAGCAAAAUCUCCAGCUCUAAUGGCAAUGUUAAAAUACCCUUAAAAUGACAACAUUACGUGACAGAAAUACUGUUUUGAUCUGAUCUUCACUGAUGAGUCGUAUGUAGACUAAACGCGCGUCUGGCGUAUUAAAUUAUAAUCCUGGUACCUUUGAUAACUAUAUACAAAACAAAUAAAUGCAAAAUUAAUCAGG